GAUUCUCUUUGAUAUAUUUGUUCUUUUGGUUCACAAAUCUUUAUAGUAGCUUCAGUAUAACCUUAAUAAAGAAAACAGUUACAUGAGUAUAUGUAAUAGAUCCAUGUUGUGUCAGUGAUAUCGAUACUGUGCCAAUAUACAAAUUAAGCUCACAACACAAGGAAAGAAUAAGGGAUGAAAUCCAUUUCAAUGACUUUAGGUAAAUAACACUUUUUCACAUAAACAAAAUAUAAGUAUGCCAAUAGUGGUUCAAAGAAUAAGAAAUUGACCUGCCAUGACAAUGAUUAGAAAAUAUUUGUGAAAGAUGGAAUGAUUCUGACUUAGGUUUACCUUGUCAGCUCCAGCAGCCAGUAACCAUCAAGCUCUUUAGUGUUAUAAAAAACUCUAUAGAUAAAGAAAAUAUUAAUAGAUCUAUCUCAUGAUAAAUUUUGAGUGUGACCAAAAAAAUAAAGGAAUGAAAAGUUAAAGACCUUAUUGUUACUAGUAUAGUUUGUGAUGGAUCUGCUAAGUGUGCAACCAAGUGAGGUAUCAUGGGUUCAGUAAGUGGGAUGUAGGUUGGACAGGGAAAGACCGUGGAAAAUUGUAUUCACAAGCCUGCUUGGAGGAGUCAUUGCGGUUGAGAUCAGUGUGCCAUCGAUGAACAAAUCCUCACUGACAAAGAAAGAAGAAUGUGGUUGAUAUUUAUGAAGUAUCAGCAUGAUCCUCGUCAGCAAGAGAGAGGACAUGGGAAUGAUUUAAAAAAAAAAUUGAAAUGCUGAUCAGAUGAAAAAUAUGCACAGAUGACAGAUCCAUAUGGUGUGUGAAAUGUGUUGAGGAAGUGUUUGCUUUAGUGAGGGAGGUGGCCAAAAGGAAGUUUCUGUGAGUUGAAGAGAUGC
Molecule: long non-coding RNA, 875 nt
Filed under: Medicago truncatula (barrel medic)
Lineage: Eukaryota; Viridiplantae; Streptophyta; Magnoliopsida; Fabales; Fabaceae
Description: long non-coding RNA (MTRU_LNC002293)
Source: RNAcentral